GCGUGGAUGGCCGAGUGGUAGGCCUUCAUUAUUGGCGGAUAACUGAAGUAUGUAGGUUCGAAUCCUACUCCAUGCACCA
RNAcentral lists this transfer RNA (79 nucleotides) under Siphonobacter sp. BAB-5405. RNAcentral's name for it is "tRNA-OTHER". It matches the Rfam family "tRNA". From Rfam's summary of the family: Transfer RNA (tRNA) molecules are approximately 80 nucleotides in length. Their secondary structure includes four short double-helical elements and three loops (D, anti-codon, and T loops). Lineage: Bacteria; Pseudomonadati; Bacteroidota; Cytophagia; Cytophagales; Cytophagaceae. The record is from RNAcentral.